GUGCUCGCUUCACCAGCAUAUAUACCAAACAAAAUUGGAACAAUACAGAGAUGAUCAGCACGGCCCCCACACAAGGAUGAUAUGCAUACCCGGGAAGCGUUCUAUAUUUAA
RNAcentral lists this small nuclear RNA (111 nucleotides) under Ochotona princeps (American pika). The record is from RNAcentral. Lineage: Eukaryota; Metazoa; Chordata; Mammalia; Lagomorpha; Ochotonidae.